This 777-nucleotide ribosomal RNA is filed under the name uncultured Neocallimastigales. RNAcentral describes it as "partial large subunit ribosomal RNA". It matches the Rfam family "Eukaryotic large subunit ribosomal RNA", at positions 22 to 615 of the family's 3401-position model. Lineage: Eukaryota; Fungi; Neocallimastigomycota; Neocallimastigomycetes; Neocallimastigales. The record is from RNAcentral.
UGUACACGCUGUGACUAGCAUAUCAAUAAGCGGAGGAAAAGAAACUAACAAGGAUUCCCCUAGUAACGGCGAGUGAAGCGGGAAGAGCUCAAAUUUGAAAUCUUAAAGGGUUUCCCUUUACGAAUUGUAGUUUAAAGAAGUGUUUUCUGUUGAGGUUUUGGUAAAAGUUCUUUGGAAUAGGACAUCAUAGAGGGUGAGAAUCCCGUAUUUGACCUUUACUUUCAACUUUGUGAUACACUUUCAAAGAGUCGGAUUGUUUGGGAAUGCAGUCCAAGAUGGGUGGUAAAUUUCAUCUAAAGCUAAAUAUUGGCGAGAGACCGAUAGCGAACAAGUACCGUGAGGGAAAGAUGAAAAGAACUUUGAAAAGAGAGUUAAACAGUACGUGAAAUUGUCAAAAGGGAAGCGUUUGACACCAGUGUUGUUUUUCUGAAAAUCAAUUAAAGAACUGUUUAUGCUAAGUUGUUUAGACUUUAUCAGCUAACUGUUUAGUUUUGAGCUUUUCUUUAAUUGCACUUUUCAGUUAACAAGUCAACUAUCAAUUUCUUUUGCUGUAAAAAAGCUUGAGGAAGGUGGCUUGAGAUUCGUCUUAAGUGUUUAUAGCCUCUUGCCUAUGCAGUCGGAGAGAUUGAGGUCUGCAGCGUAGAUCCUUCGGGGCUAAAUGCAUUUGUGCUAAGUUAUAGCAUUUCAUAGACAACUUGUUGACUAUGAUUUGUCUUGUAGCUUACUCGCUUAUGUUAUUUUACCUACGCUUAGGAUGUUGACGCGCGUGUGUGCGUG